Molecule: ribosomal RNA, 2190 nt
Filed under: Staphylococcus aureus
Lineage: Bacteria; Bacillati; Bacillota; Bacilli; Caryophanales; Staphylococcaceae
Description: partial 23S ribosomal RNA
Rfam family: Bacterial large subunit ribosomal RNA
Source: RNAcentral
GAAAGCGAGUCUGAAUAGGGCGUUUAGUAUUUGGUCGUAGACCCGAAACCAGGUGAUCUACCCUUGGUCAGGUUGAAGUUCAGGUAACACUGAAUGGAGGACCGAACCGACUUACGUUGAAAAGUGAGCGGAUGAACUGAGGGUAGCGGAGAAAUUCCAAUCGAACCUGGAGAUAGCUGGUUCUCUCCGAAAUAGCUUUAGGGCUAGCCUCAAGUGAUGAUUAUUGGAGGUAGAGCACUGUUUGGACGAGGGGCCCCUCUCGGGUUACCGAAUUCAGACAAACUCCGAAUGCCAAUUAAUUUAACUUGGGAGUCAGAACAUGGGUGAUAAGGUCCGUGUUCGAAAGGGAAACAGCCCAGACCACCAGCUAAGGUCCCAAAAUAUAUGUUAAGUGGAAAAGGAUGUGGCGUUGCCCAGACAACUAGGAUGUUGGCUUAGAAGCAGCCAUCAUUUAAAGAGUGCGUAAUAGCUCACUAGUCGAGUGACACUGCGCCGAAAAUGUACCGGGGCUAAACAUAUUACCGAAGCUGUGGAUUGUCCUUUGGACAAUGGUAGGAGAGCGUUCUAAGGGCGUUGAAGCAUGAUCGUAAGGACAUGUGGAGCGCUUAGAAGUGAGAAUGCCGGUGUGAGUAGCGAAAGACGGGUGAGAAUCCCGUCCACCGAUUGACUAAGGUUUCCAGAGGAAGGCUCGUCCGCUCUGGGUUAGUCGGGUCCUAAGCUGAGGCCGACAGGCGUAGGCGAUGGAUAACAGGUUGAUAUUCCUGUACCACCUAUAAUCGUUUUAAUCGAUGGGGGGACGCAGUAGGAUAGGCGAAGCGUGCGAUUGGAUUGCACGUCUAAGCAGUAAGGCUGAGUAUUAGGCAAAUCCGGUACUCAUUAAGGCUGAGCUGUGAUGGGGAGAAGACAUUGUGUCUUCGAGUCGUUGAUUUCACACUGCCGAGAAAAGCCUCUAGAUAGAAAAUAGGUGCCCGUACCGCAAACCGACACAGGUAGUCAAGAUGAGAAUUCUAAGGUGAGCGAGCGAACUCUCGUUAAGGAACUCGGCAAAAUGACCCCGUAACUUCGGGAGAAGGGGUGCUCUUUAGGGUUAACGCCCAGAAGAGCCGCAGUGAAUAGGCCCAAGCGACUGUUUAUCAAAAACACAGGUCUCUGCUAAACCGUAAGGUGAUGUAUAGGGGCUGACGCCUGCCCGGUGCUGGAAGGUUAAGAGGAGUGGUUAGCUUCUGCGAAGCUACGAAUCGAAGCCCCAGUAAACGGCGGCCGUAACUAUAACGGUCCUAAGGUAGCGAAAUUCCUUGUCGGGUAAGUUCCGACCCGCACGAAAGGCGUAACGAUUUGGGCACUGUCUCAACGAGAGACUCGGUGAAAUCAUAGUACCUGUGAAGAUGCAGGUUACCCGCGACAGGACGGAAAGACCCCGUGGAGCUUUACUGUAGCCUGAUAUUGAAAUUCGGCACAGCUUGUACAGGAUAGGUAGGAGCCUUUGAAACGUGAGCGCUAGCUUACGUGGAGGCGCUGGUGGGAUACUACCCUAGCUGUGUUGGCUUUCUAACCCGCACCACUUAUCGUGGUGGGAGACAGUGUCAGGCGGGCAGUUUGACUGGGGCGGUCGCCUCCUAAAAGGUAACGGAGGCGCUCAAAGGUUCCCUCAGAAUGGUUGGAAAUCAUUCAUAGAGUGUAAAGGCAUAAGGGAGCUUGACUGCGAGACCUACAAGUCGAGCAGGGUCGAAAGACGGACUUAGUGAUCCGGUGGUUCCGCAUGGAAGGGCCAUCGCUCAACGGAUAAAAGCUACCCCGGGGAUAACAGGCUUAUCUCCCCCAAGAGUUCACAUCGACGGGGAGGUUUGGCACCUCGAUGUCGGCUCAUCGCAUCCUGGGGCUGUAGUCGGUCCCAAGGGUUGGGCUGUUCGCCCAUUAAAGCGGUACGCGAGCUGGGUUCAGAACGUCGUGAGACAGUUCGGUCCCUAUCCGUCGUGGGCGUAGGAAAUUUGAGAGGAGCUGUCCUUAGUACGAGAGGACCGGGAUGGACAUACCUCUGGUGUACCAGUUGUCGUGCCAACGGCAUAGCUGGGUAGCUAUGUGUGGACGGGAUAAGUGCUGAAAGCAUCUAAGCAUGAAGCCCCCCUCAAGAUGAGAUUUCCCAACUUCGGUUAUAAGAUCCCUCAAAGAUGAUGAGGUUAAUAGGUUCGA